Molecule: long non-coding RNA, 452 nt
Organism: Pongo pygmaeus (Bornean orangutan)
Lineage: Eukaryota; Metazoa; Chordata; Mammalia; Primates; Hominidae
Exons: 2
Source: RefSeq, a predicted model, not a curated record
UGGGGAAACAGACGUGCAACCGCCAUUUUGCGCAUUAAUUCACCAGAGGUCGGGUCAGAUUGUGUUAAUGCAGGCAGAGGGGUGUGGCAGAUCUCCAACCGCUCGGGGUCCCGCGACUUCCAUUAAUGAAUUCGCACACUGGCCGUUACCACUCAACACACCGACGAUCUUAUGCAUUGCACAAAGUCAGAAUACUUGGUUGCAAGUGACAGAAAUUCAACUCCUCCAAAAAGGAUUUAUUGGUUCAUGUAAUUUGGAAGUGCAAGAGUGCAUCUUAUGGCAAGAGUGCAUCUGAAGACUCAAAUACUGCUGUCAAGACUCUCUCUCCAACUCUUUGUUUGCAUUGCUUUAUUCUUUUAGAGUCUACCCUAGUGGCAGACAAAUGGCUGCCAGACAAACUCAAAUCUCCCAGUUAAGCAAUUGCAAUGGAGGAAAUAAACCAAAUAACUCUC